UCCCUAGUGGCUCAGAUGGUAAAGCGUCUGUCUGCAAUGCAGGAGACUUGGGUUUGAUCCCUGGGUUGGGAA
RNAcentral lists this transfer RNA (72 nucleotides) under Bos taurus (domestic cattle). It matches the Rfam family "tRNA". From Rfam's summary of the family: Transfer RNA (tRNA) molecules are approximately 80 nucleotides in length. Their secondary structure includes four short double-helical elements and three loops (D, anti-codon, and T loops). Further hydrogen bonds mediate the characteristic L-shaped molecular structure. tRNAs have two regions of fundamental functional importance: the anti-codon, which is responsible for specific mRNA codon recognition, and the 3' end, to which the tRNAs corresponding amino acid is attached (by aminoacyl-tRNA synthetases). tRNAs cope with the degeneracy of the genetic code in two manners: having more than one tRNA (with a specific anti-codon) for a particular amino acid; and 'wobble' base-pairing, i.e. permitting non-standard base-pairing at the 3rd anti-codon position. Lineage: Eukaryota; Metazoa; Chordata; Mammalia; Artiodactyla; Bovidae. The record is from Rfam by way of RNAcentral. RNAcentral also lists the same sequence under 2 other names.